ACACCUCAACUCUCAUGGUUCGCCGUGAUGAGCUUGGACUUUGGGGGUCUUGCUGGCCUGCGGUCGGCUCCUCUCAAAUGAAUCAGCUUGCCAGUGUUUGGUGGCAUCACAGGUGUGAUAACUAUCUACGCUUGUGGUUUUCUACCAGGUAACCUUCAGCAAUGGAGGUUCGCUGGAGCUCAUAAAUGUCUCUCCCCAGUGAAGACAGCUUCGUGAAC
RNAcentral lists this unclassified non-coding RNA (218 nucleotides) under uncultured Tomentella. RNAcentral's name for it is "sequence contains ITS2". The record is from RNAcentral. Lineage: Eukaryota; Fungi; Basidiomycota; Agaricomycetes; Thelephorales; Thelephoraceae.